CAACAGACAGGAACUGUGGCCUCAAGGCACAGUCACACCUCGUCCAGAAUCCAGGACCAAGCGCGGGCCCAUUCUGUCCUCUCCACCCCAGCCCUCCCCACCUCGCUUCAGAGAUGUCCCCAGGCCUGAUGUUGCUGGGGCACAUGGCUGGGGUGAACCCGGGCCCAUCCCCUGUGAAGUCAGCGGCUCCCCGGCAUCCUAUGACCCACACUGACACCCCAGGCCUGGGGCCUGCUGUGCAGCCUGGAGUCACUGACCAUCUCUGAGCCCUCAAUUCAGCAUCUGGAAAGCAGGCGUGAUGACAGCUUGGGCCUCCGGGGCUUGGAGACAUCAGGGACACGGCCGGGGUUAGGGGUACUGAGGGGUUGGGUGCUCCCCUCAGAAGGGCCUUCUUGUCCUUCCCGGCCCUCCUCAAACCUCAGCAAUCUCAGCUGCCACUAACCAGCAAGACGACAAUGCUGAAGGACUCACCGAGACCCCUUGCCAACCCCACCCUGGACCACCCAGCAGCCCUUCCCGCACAUCACACCCGUCACUCUCCCGGCCCCUGCCCGCCUGGUGCGCCCUAUGUCUCCCCAAUAACUCCUCCCCUUCACGGCUCUCCCCAAGGACGGAGGGCCCUUGCCCUGCCCAGCCAGGCUGUGGUCCCUGAAAGCAGCUCCUGGAUGGCUCUUGCAGUGACCCCCAACAAAAUUGAUUGAUCAUCAAUCAAGCCAGCCUUCAAGGAGGGGGUGAGUGUGGGAACGACUGUCUCCUCUGGGGACUUCAGCACUGCACACACGGCCACAGCACCGCACCCGCACGGCCCCGGCGGCCUUUCCACCUGUGAGGAUGGAGAAGGUGGCAGGGGAAGGGCAGGCAGAAGAAUGGACAAAAAGAAACCUCCCACUGCUGCACAUGGGUCUGAGGAGAACCCAAUAAAGCACCUGGUGACCUUUGA
Molecule: long non-coding RNA, 940 nt
Filed under: Homo sapiens (human)
Lineage: Eukaryota; Metazoa; Chordata; Mammalia; Primates; Hominidae
Description: HSALNT0289875
Source: RNAcentral